AGGAGAAGAAACUAACCAGGAUUUCCCUAGUAACGGCGAGCGAACCGGAAAGAGCCCAGCUUGAAAAUCGUGGUGCCUCGCACCUCGAAUUGUAGUCUGGAGAAGGUCCCUCUGCGACGCGCCGGACCCAAGUUCCCUGGAAAGGGACGUCAUCGAGGGUGACAACCCCGUCCGCGCCCGGAACGCGUCGCUCCACGAGGACCUGUCUGCGAGUCGGGCUGUUUGGGAAUGCAGCCCUAAGCGGGAGGUAAAUUCCUUCCAAGGCUAAAUAUGGGCAAGAGACCGAUAGCGAACAAGUACCGCGAGGGAAAGAUGAAAAGGACUUUGAAAAGAGAGUUAAAAAGUGCUUGAAAUUGCUGGGAGGGAAGCGAAUGGAAGCUGCGGGUGCGCCCCGGUUGGAUGUGGAACGGCUUCGGCUGGUCCGCCGCUCAACGCGGGGCGCUGGUCAGCGUGGGCCGCGGCGCCGGGACAAGAGCGGGGAUUCGCUUCCCGCCUAUGCCGGUGCGGUGGCCGAGGAACGAAGCGCGCGCCUCCUUCUGGACGGCGUGGGUUCGCCCAACUGCGCGCUCGGGACGCUGGCGUAUUGAGCUCUUCAUCCGACCCGUCUUGAAACACGGACCAAGGAGUCUAACAUGUAUGCGAGCCGGUGGGCGGCAAACCCAUUGAGGCGCAAGUAAACUGACAGGUGGGACCCCGACCGCGAGGGAGGGAGCACCAUCGACCGACCGUGAUCUUCUGUGAAAGGUUUGAGUGUGAGCAUACCUGUUGGGACCCGAAAGAUGGUGAACUAUGCCUGAGCAGGGCGAAGCCAGAGGAAACUCUGGUGGAGGCUCGUAGCGAUACUGACGUGCAAAUCGUUCGUCAGACUUGGGUAUAGGGGCGAAAGACUAAUCGAACCAUCUAGUAGCUGGUUCCCUCCGAAGUUUCCCUCAGGAUAGCUGGAGCUCGUGUACAAGUUUUAUCAGGUAAAGCGAAUGAUUAGAGGCAUCGGGGGUGUAACACCCUCGACCUAUUCUCAAACUUUAAAUAGGUAAGCCGCCGGGGUUGCUUGGUUGAACCCCGGCACAGAAUGAGAGCUCCAAGUGGGCCAU
RNAcentral lists this ribosomal RNA (1091 nucleotides) under Limbella tricostata. RNAcentral's name for it is "eukaryotic LSU rRNA". It matches the Rfam family "Eukaryotic large subunit ribosomal RNA", at positions 54 to 1134 of the family's 3401-position model. Lineage: Eukaryota; Viridiplantae; Streptophyta; Bryopsida; Hypnales; Amblystegiaceae. The record is from RNAcentral.